This 423-nucleotide ribosomal RNA is filed under the name uncultured Ruminococcus sp. RNAcentral describes it as "bacterial SSU rRNA". It matches the Rfam family "Bacterial small subunit ribosomal RNA", at positions 355 to 794 of the family's 1533-position model. The record is from RNAcentral. Lineage: Bacteria; Bacillati; Bacillota; Clostridia; Eubacteriales; Oscillospiraceae.
UGGGGAAUAUUGCACAAUGGGGCGGAAGCCUGAUGCAGCGAUGCCGCGUGAGGGAAGAAGGUUUUAGGAUUGUAAACCUCUGUCUUUGGGGACGAUAAUGACGGUACCCAAGGAGGAAGCUCCGGCUAACUACGUGCCAGCAGCCGCGGUAAUACGUAGGGAGCGAGCGUUGUCCGGAAUUACUGGAUGUAAAGGGAGCGUAGGCGGGAUUGCAAGUCAGAUGUGAAAUUUAUGGGCUCAACCGAUAACGUGCAUUUGAAACUGUAGUUCUUGAGUGAAGUAGAGGUAAGCGGAAUUCCUAGUGUAGCGGUGAAAUGCGUAGAUAUUAGGAGGAACAUCAGUGGCGAAGGCGGCUUACUGGGCUUUAACUGACGCUGAGGCUCGAAAGCGUGGGGAGCAAACAGGAUUAGAUACCCUGGUAGU